RNAcentral lists this ribosomal RNA (427 nucleotides) under uncultured bacterium. RNAcentral's name for it is "bacterial SSU rRNA". It matches the Rfam family "Bacterial small subunit ribosomal RNA", at positions 355 to 774 of the family's 1533-position model. The record is from RNAcentral.
UGGGGAAUUUUGGACAAUGGGCGCAAGCCUGAUCCAGCAAUGCCGCGUGCAGGAUGAAGGCCUUCGGGUUGUAAACUGCUUUUGUACGGAACGAAAAAGCUCUCUCUAAUACAGGGGGUGGAUGACGGUACCGUAAGAAUAAGCACCGGCUAACUACGUGCCAGCAGCCGCGGUAAUACGUAGGGUGCAAGCGUUAAUCGGAAUUACUGGGCGUAAAGCGUGCGCAGGCGGUUUUGUAAGACAGAGGUGAAAUCCCCGGGCUCAACCUGGGAACUGCCUUUGUGACUGCAAAGCUGGAGUGCGGCAGAGNGGGAUGGAAUUCCGCGUGUAGCAGUGAAAUGCGUAGAUAUGCGGAGGAACACCGAUGGCGAAGGCAAUCCCCUGGGCCUGCACUGACGCUCAUGCACGAAAGCGUGGGGAGCAAACA